RNAcentral lists this ribosomal RNA (372 nucleotides) under Triticum aestivum (bread wheat). Its description in RNAcentral is "partial small subunit ribosomal RNA". The record is from RNAcentral. Lineage: Eukaryota; Viridiplantae; Streptophyta; Magnoliopsida; Poales; Poaceae.
AUGCAGUCCUAUAGGUGUUUGUGUUCAUGCCUACAAGUGAUUUAUUGUGAAGUUAGGCAAGAUGAAGCUGGGACAAGGCCGAAUCGUGUGGCAGAACCACCUCCUUCUAGUGCGUCGCCUCCUCNUUCCAGCAUGCCGCCACCGCCGCAACCCUCCACCGUCAAGGUCGCACGUGUGUCGUCCUCAGUCCAACCCCAAUGCAUUAGGGUGGUCGAGUUCGUCACGAGUAGCAAUCCAUGGCUGUCGGGUUCAACUUUCCUCAUCGCGAGGCUUGUACUCUUCUCCUAUGAGCUCUCUCUCACUUCUGUUGUUCAUUUUUACUGCUGCUUCAAUUUCCUUGUGAUGCAAAAUGUUGUUGAUGAACAUUACUAG